This 1357-nucleotide long non-coding RNA is filed under the name Phascolarctos cinereus (koala). RNAcentral describes it as "lncRNA (ENSPCIG00000031930.1)". Lineage: Eukaryota; Metazoa; Chordata; Mammalia; Diprotodontia; Phascolarctidae. The record is from RNAcentral.
AUGGGGGCCUGGAGCAAUGGAGGACACCCAGUUGUUAAAGAUUUACCAGCAUCUCCCCUCAUGUCAAGGCAGAACAACAAAGCAGACUCUCUGAUAAGCCCUCUAAGAAAGUGCCCUUUCAUUCUUCUAUUUCCUGGAAUGAAAUUCCUCAUUCUUGUAACUUAUUCCCAGAACCAGGAGGACCCAGUGCUCACCACAGCCCCAGACUUCCUUUAUGAAUGCAGUCCAAGAGAAAGCUGGGAACUUGGUCACCUGGGUCCUGAGGAGUCCUCCCUUUCCCAAGAAACCUUCCCAGAAGCUGUCAGCCAGAGCAACUUCUGGAUAAAGAAAGGAUGUCUCACACUGGAAGUUCUGUGAGCAGGCCAAAGGAACGGCCAUCUCAGGGGCCAAACCUGGAGAAUACCUUUCCCCACCCGCCACUGCCAGUGCCCUAACCCUCAUCACUGUCUGCAAGGUGUUUCUUUAGUGUGGGAAAUGACUUCUUGCCAUUUGUUGAAUAAUUUAUUAAUUCUUAUAGAGGGAAACCAAAUUGUGAGGUGUGGCAAUGUGACAAUUUGUGGGGGAGGGAGUUGAGGCUCCCCAUUAUCUCUUUACUUUGCCCUUGACAAUUUGGGGGUGGGGCUAAGAGUGUGCAGUACCUGUGUAGCUAAGACUGAAGGUGACCAAGGCUGCUAUCUCUGUGAGUCGAGUAGUCAAAAUUGGCUAAGACUGACUUUGAGGAAGCAAUCCAGACCAACCUGAACUCAUCCAUUCAGGAGUUUGAGGAGCCCCAGGGCCACUGAGAAUCUGAUGCUGCAAGGGGUCCCCAAGCCAAGCCCCCUCCCAGCACCUUCCAAGACGGCCAAGAAGGAAAAGUCCAGCUCUGGUGUCAGGCCAGGCCAACAAUUUCCUUUCUCUUCCUUUCUUUCCCUUUUGGGGAAUGUUUCAUCUCAUCCUUCUGAAUUAAGUUCAGACCUCUGUCAGCAGGAGUGUUGAACUUGCUUAGAAAUGCAUCUUGUGAAGAUGCAUGUCAUGUCUCAGACAUUCCUGUCACAGAUACCCUGGAGAGGGUGACGAUCUGGCUGGUAGAUGUCUUUGGUGCCAUCAGGGAGAUCACUCCAAUCUCAGCACCUGCUCUCUUUCAACACAGCUCCUCUCUGUGGGCUCAAAGACUGCAGGACUGAGCCCACAUAGGGACCAAGUCAGGUCCACAAACAUUUAUCAUAUUAAGCAUUUACUAUGUACAAAUGUAGAUUUUCUUAUGCUCAAUAAUGUCCCACUGCAAUUACAUCCCAAAGUCUGUUUAGCCAUUCCCCAGGAGGUAGUCACCACUGUAGUUUACAUUUUUGGGUUACUAUAACAAGACCUGCUAUAAAUA